AACAUUAAAAUAAUGAAUGAAUGAAUGAAUGAACCCAGAACCACUCAAGAGUAGUUAACAUUGUGAAAAAUGAGCAGGCAUUAGUAGGGUGGAUGGGAGAAGUUUCCUUUUUUUCUUAAGGCCUUCCUAUACAGCUUGAUUCCUUGUGAACAGGUAUUACUUUAAUUUAAAUUAAAACACACACACACACACACACACACACACACACACACACACACACAGUCAAUGAGCAGUCCUGCAAACAGCAGGAUACCUAAUUAAUCUUUCCCUUAUUCUCUCCUUUCAGAACCCCGUCCUUAAAAUGGGCAAUUCUGAACAUCUGCUCAAACAUUUAAAAAAGCGCUAUUAACCUUCCUGUUAAAAAUUCAACGACUUCAAGUUUACUUAAGUAUUCUCUUGAAUACUUAAGCUAAAGUUCCUUGCCAACUACCACUUCUGAUUCCAUCAUGUUAUCAGAAAACAGAGUCCUAUGGAGAUGACAUAAGGGCAGAGCCUGAGGAGUCCAGGAACAUCUCUGUGCUGAGCGAGAACGUAUCCACCCCCAUACAACUGCAGAAUCUCCGAAGGGCGCAGAAGUCACAUAAAGCUUUUAUGAAGGCAAUGUUGCCAACCUUGGAGUUUGGACGCCAAUUAAAAAAAAAAAAAAAAAAAAAAAAGGCACACUGGCGACUUUCAGACACUUAGUUGUUUCCCUCUGAUGAUGUUCCAGAAAGCUCAAUAACUGGGGAAGAAGAGCAUCAAGGAGGCAGACAAGCUGUCUAGGCUUGGAAAGGAUACUUUGACCAAAUUAUAAAGUAAGCACUAAGAAACGUGUAACGUCUACAGAAGCAAUUCAGAGUCAUCUGUGGAUGUGUUGGGGGGGUGGUGCACCACCAUACAUCCUGUUAGCCAGCUUGCUUACCCUCUACUGGAAAGUGUUUUCCCUUGUAGGCUAUAAAUAUCUGACAGCAGG
Leopardus geoffroyi (Geoffroy's cat) is the source of this 952-nucleotide long non-coding RNA. RefSeq lists it as uncharacterized. The record is from RefSeq and is a predicted model, not a curated record. Lineage: Eukaryota; Metazoa; Chordata; Mammalia; Carnivora; Felidae. The transcript has 2 exons.